Molecule: ribosomal RNA, 253 nt
Filed under: uncultured bacterium
Lineage: Bacteria
Description: partial 16S ribosomal RNA
Rfam family: Bacterial small subunit ribosomal RNA
Source: RNAcentral
UACGUAGGGUGCGAGCGUUGUCCGGAAUUACUGGGCGUAAAGGGCGCGUAGGCGGGAUGGCAAGUCGGUCGUGAAAUCCUUCGGCUCAACCGAAGAACGUCGAUCGAUACUGCUGUUCUAGAGGAUUGCAGAGGAGACUGGAAUUCCCGGUGUAGCGGUGAAAUGUGUAGAGAUCGGGAGGAACACCGGUGGCGAAGGCGGGUCUCUGGGCAAUUCCUGACGCUGAGGCGCGAAAGCGUGGGGAGCAAACGGG